AUGCUUUCCUUCUUUAGAUUGCCUAAAGGUGUGGGUAAACGCUUUGAUUUUUUCCGAGCUCGUUUGGUUUGGCAAGAAAGGGACGGAGUGCGGAAGUACCACCUGGUCAACUGGAAUGAUGUGUGCCAACCUAGGGACCAGGGAGGACUGGGGGUUACUAAUCUAGAUGUUAAAAAUGUUAGUCUUCUUUGUAAGUGGCUCUGGAGACUAGAAAAUAAGGAGGGGGACUGGCAGGAGUUGAUUAGAGCAAAGUAUCUGAAGAAGAAAACUUUGACUCAAUGCGAAUCAUCUCCUAACAACUCCCACUUCUGGAAUGGCUUAAUGGAAGUUAAGAAUAUUUUUUAUAGCUGUUGUCAGAGAAUUGUGGGGGAUGGUCGUAAAACUAGAUUUUGGGAAGAUGCGUGGAUAAAGGAUAAACCUCUUUGUUUGAUUUUUCCUCGUCUUUAUAAUCUAACUUUUUGCAAACAUGUUACUGUUACGAAAGUA
RNAcentral lists this ribosomal RNA (486 nucleotides) under Triticum aestivum (bread wheat). Its description in RNAcentral is "partial small subunit ribosomal RNA". The record is from RNAcentral. Lineage: Eukaryota; Viridiplantae; Streptophyta; Magnoliopsida; Poales; Poaceae.